This 31-nucleotide non-coding RNA is filed under the name Mus musculus (house mouse). The record is from RNAcentral. Lineage: Eukaryota; Metazoa; Chordata; Mammalia; Rodentia; Muridae.
UAGCAUCAAAGUGUCUGUCAUCAGAUUCCCU